GUGCCAGCAGCCGCGGUAACACGUAAGCCCCGAGCGUUGUUCGGAAUUAUUGGGCGUAAAGGGCAUGUAGGCGGUCCUGCAAGCCCGGUGUGAAAGGCGGGGGCUCAACCCCCGGACUGCGCCGGGAACUGCAGGGCUGGAGUCGCUGAGGGGCAGCCGGAAUUCCAGGUGUAGGGGUGAAAUCUGUAGAUAUCUGGAAGAACACCGAUGGCGAAGGGCAGGCUGCCAGCAGACGACUGACGCUGAGGUGCGAAGGUUGCGGGGAGCAAACAGGAUUAGAUACCCUGGUAGUCCGCACAGUCAACUAUGUGCACUAGGUGUCCGGCCAUAAGGCUGGGUGCCGAAGCGAACGCGAUAAGUGCACCGCCUGNGGAGUAUUGCCGCAAGGGUGAAACUCAAAGGAAUUGACGGGGCCCGCACAAGCGGUGGAGCAUGUGGUUAAUUCGAUGGUACGCGAGGAACCUUACCUGGGUUUGGCAUACACAGGAAUUAUAUAGAGAUAUGUAAGCGCAGCAAUGCGUCUGUGAACAAGUGCUGCAUGGCUGUCGUCAGCUCGUGCCGUGAGGUGUUGGGUUAAGUCCCGCAACGAGCGCAACCCCUACUGCCAGUUACCAACAGGUAAAGCUGGGGACUCUGGCGGAACUGCCGGUGACAAAACCGGAGGAAGGCGGGGAUGACGUCAAGUCAUCAUGGCCCUUAUGUCCAGGGCUACACACGUGCUACAAUGGCAGGUACAAAGCGAAGCGAGGCCGCGAGGCGGAGCAAAGCGCAUAAAGCCUGUCGUAGUUCGGAUAGGAGUCUGAAACCCGACUCCUUGAAGUUGGAAUCGCUAGUAAUCGCGCAUCAGCACGGCGCGGUGAAUACGUUCCCGGGCCUUGUACACACCGCCCGUA
This 893-nucleotide ribosomal RNA is filed under the name uncultured bacterium. RNAcentral's name for it is "bacterial SSU rRNA". It matches the Rfam family "Bacterial small subunit ribosomal RNA", at positions 505 to 1398 of the family's 1533-position model. The record is from RNAcentral.